CUCACUACAAUAGUCAUUCUCCAGUGCUCCUCUGUCUGUUGGUCUGUGUAUCUGUCUGUCACACCAUUGAAACCUCACCUUGCUCUCGUGCAGCCAUGUCUGAUGUAGAGGAGGAAUACGAGGGGGAGCAGGCGGAAGGUGAGUGGGUUGCUGUGCUGAGGUGUUAGUGUUGUCAUUGUUGGACCACACUUGGCCUUGCAUGUGGAAGUCUAUGACCCUGUUAUUAUUAGCCUGUUCUCUCAGCUCCUAUUGCUUUCAGCACACUGCUGACAUUUUUUUUUUUAAAGCCCCAAUCCUCUGCCCUCUAUUAGCCACACACUCUCCAUCUCACUUUUCACUCUCCAUCUCCCUCCAUUCCUUUAAUAUUCUAUCUAUUUAAUCAUCAUUCUAAUGUCUCUCCAUCCCCUUGUCUCAUUUAUGUAUUUUUCCUCUCCACACUUGUCUUUCUUAAUUUCUUCCCUGUCUACCACAUUGCCCUGAUUUCGUCAGUGCCCCAUGUCCCUUAUCUUGUCCUCUGAACUGCUCUCUGACUUUUUCUCUCUCCAUUUGCCCCCCCCCCCCCCUUCUCUCUCUCUCUUUCUCUCUCUUUCUCGCUCUCUCCAGAGGAGGCAGAGGAGGAGCAGGCGGCUGAGCCAGAGGAGGAGCCAGAAGAAGAAC
Molecule: non-coding RNA, 657 nt
Organism: Salvelinus sp. IW2-2015
Lineage: Eukaryota; Metazoa; Chordata; Actinopteri; Salmoniformes; Salmonidae
Source: RefSeq, a predicted model, not a curated record